This 254-nucleotide ribosomal RNA is filed under the name uncultured bacterium. RNAcentral describes it as "partial 16S ribosomal RNA". It matches the Rfam family "Bacterial small subunit ribosomal RNA", at positions 524 to 776 of the family's 1533-position model. The record is from RNAcentral.
UACGUAGGGGGGCAAGCGUUGUCCGGAUUUAUUGGGCGUAAAGAGCGUGUAGGCGGCCAUGCAGGUCAGCUGUGAAAACUCGAGGCUCAACCUCGAGACGUCGGUUGAAACCGUAUGGCUAGAGUCCGGAAGAGGAGAGUGGAAUUCCCGGUGUAGCGGUGAAAUGCGCAGAUAUCGGGAAGAACACCUAUGGCGAAGGCAGCUCUCUGGGACGGUACUGACGCUGAGACGCGAAAGCGUGGGGAGCAAACAGG